RNAcentral lists this ribosomal RNA (440 nucleotides) under uncultured Sphingomonadales bacterium. RNAcentral describes it as "bacterial SSU rRNA". It matches the Rfam family "Bacterial small subunit ribosomal RNA", at positions 338 to 795 of the family's 1533-position model. The record is from RNAcentral. Lineage: Bacteria; Pseudomonadati; Pseudomonadota; Alphaproteobacteria; Sphingomonadales.
CCUACGGGCGGCUGCAGUGGGGAAUAUUGGACAAUGGGCGAAAGCCUGAUCCAGCAAUGCCGCGUGAGUGAUGAAGGCCCUAGGGUUGUAAAGCUCUUUUACCCGGGAUGAUAAUGACAGUACCGGGAGAAUAAGCUCCGGCUAACUCCGUGCCAGCAGCCGCGGUAAUACGGAGGGAGCUAGCGUUGUUCGGAAUUACUGGGCGUAAAGCGCGCGUAGGCGGUCCAUCAAGUCAGAGGUGAAAGCCCGGGGCUCAACCCCGGAACUGCCUUUGAAACUGGCGGACUAGAAUCUUGGAGAGGCGAGUGGAAUUCCGAGUGUAGAGGUGAAAUUCGUAGAUAUUCGGAAGAACACCAGUGGCGAAGGCGACUCGCUGGACAAGUAUUGACGCUGAGGUGCGAAAGCGUGGGGAGCAAACAGGAUUAGAUACCCCUGUAGUC